This 253-nucleotide ribosomal RNA is filed under the name uncultured bacterium. Its description in RNAcentral is "partial 16S ribosomal RNA". It matches the Rfam family "Bacterial small subunit ribosomal RNA", at positions 524 to 776 of the family's 1533-position model. The record is from RNAcentral.
UACGUAGGGGGCAAGCGUUGUCCGGAAUUAUUGGGCGUAAAGAGCGUGUAGGCGGUCCGGUAAGUCCGCUGUGAAAGCCCCCGGCUCAACUGGGGAGGGUCACGCGAUACUGGUCGACUCGAAGGCAGGAGAGGGUAGUGGAAUUCCCGGUGUAGUGGUGAAAUUCGUAGAUAUUCGGAAGAACACCAGUGGCGAAGGCGACUCACUGGACACGUAUUGACGCUGAGGUGCGAAAGCGUGGGGAGCAAACAGG